RNAcentral lists this non-coding RNA (21 nucleotides) under Arabidopsis thaliana (thale cress). The record is from RNAcentral. Lineage: Eukaryota; Viridiplantae; Streptophyta; Magnoliopsida; Brassicales; Brassicaceae.
CGGUCCCCACAGACGGCGCCA